UACGUAGGGUGCGAGCGUUAAUCGGAAUUACUGGGCGUAAAGCGUGCGCAGGCGGUUUCAUAAGCCAGACGUGAAAUCCCCGGGCUUAACCUGGGAAUUGCGUUUGGGACUGUGAGGCUUGAGUGCGGCAGAGGGAGGUGGGAUUCCACGUGUAGCAGUGAAAUGCGUAGAGAUGUGGAGGAACACCGAUGGCGAAGGCAGCCUCCUGGGCCAGCACUGACGUUCAUGCACGAAAGCGUGGGGAGCAAACAGG
Molecule: ribosomal RNA, 253 nt
Filed under: uncultured bacterium
Lineage: Bacteria
Description: partial 16S ribosomal RNA
Rfam family: Bacterial small subunit ribosomal RNA
Source: RNAcentral